RNAcentral lists this ribosomal RNA (500 nucleotides) under uncultured bacterium. RNAcentral's name for it is "partial 16S ribosomal RNA". It matches the Rfam family "Bacterial small subunit ribosomal RNA", at positions 30 to 523 of the family's 1533-position model. The record is from RNAcentral.
AUUGAACGCUGGCGGAAUGCUUUACACAUGCAAGUCGAACGGCAGCACGGACUUCGGUCUGGUGGCGAGUGGCGAACGGGUGAGUAAUACAUCGGAACGUACCCAGUCGUGGGGGAUAACGUAGCGAAAGCUACGCUAAUACCGCAUACGAUCUACGGAUGAAAGCGGGGGAUCGCAAGACCUCGCGCGAUUGGAGCGGCCGAUGGCAGAUUAGGUAGUUGGUGGGGUAAAGGCUCACCAAGCCGACGAUCUGUAGCUGGUCUGAGAGGACGACCCGCCACACUGGGACUGAGACACGUCCCAGACUCCUACGGGAGGCAGCAGUGGGGAAUUUUGGACAAUGGGCGCAAGCCUGUUCCAGCCAUUCCGCGUGCAGGAUGAAGGCCCUCGGGUUGUAAACUGCUUUUGUACGGAACGAAAAGGCUCUGGUUAAUACCCGGGGCUCAUGACGGUACCGUAAGAAUAAGCACCGGCUAACUACGUGCCAGCCGCCGCCGUAA